CUGAACGCUGGCGGCGUGGCUAAGACAUGCAAGUCGCACGGUGUAGCAAUACACAGUGGCGAACGGGUGAGUAAUGAAUCGCUAAUGUACCCCGGACUCUGGGAUAGCUACCCGAAAGGGUAGGUAAUACCAGAUGAGACCACGGCAUCGCAUGAUGUUGUGCUCAAAGGUCCGCCGGUCUGGGAGCAGGCGAUUUCGUAUCAGCUAGUUGGUGAGGUAACGGCUCACCAAGGCGACGACGCGUAGCCGGACUGAGAGGUUGGCCGGCCACAUUGGGACUGAGACACUGCCCAGACUCCUACGGGGGGCUGCAGUAACGAAUCUUCCGCAAUGCACGAAAGUGUGACGGAGCGACGCCGCGUGUAGGACGAAGCCCUUCGGGGUGUAAACUACUGUCAGGGGUUAGAAAGUUCUGAUCAACCCCAGAGGAAGGCACGGCUAACUCUGUGCCAGCAGCCGCGGUAAUU
This 467-nucleotide ribosomal RNA is filed under the name uncultured bacterium. RNAcentral describes it as "bacterial SSU rRNA". It matches the Rfam family "Bacterial small subunit ribosomal RNA", at positions 30 to 525 of the family's 1533-position model. The record is from RNAcentral.